Molecule: long non-coding RNA, 1317 nt
Organism: Aegilops tauschii subsp. strangulata
Lineage: Eukaryota; Viridiplantae; Streptophyta; Magnoliopsida; Poales; Poaceae
Source: RefSeq, a predicted model, not a curated record
GAGGAGAGGAGCUGCCGCAGCGCGUCCUCAGUCCAGCCUCGACAAGAGAAGGGGAGCAGCAGCCGCGCUAGCUGGCGCGCACCUCGUCGCCACCUCUCCUCACCUUCUCCCAGGUUCCUGAUCUGGAGUGGGAGGGACGCACGCCGGCGAGGCCAGGCUACCCUUGACACGCAUAUGUAGAAUGUUCUCACUAUCAACUCUGGAAUAACUAGCAAGUAGUGGUGUCAAUGGCAUCCGUGGGAGCCAUUUUGGUGGCACAUGGACAUCACGUUCUGGAAUAAAGCCAUGGAACAAUAAAUAACUUGGCAACGGAUACCCUGUGGUCUACAAUUAUACUGUAAUUAUGUGUGCACUUUGGAUCUAUUGGAUGUCUGAAUGUAUUGUUAAUCGACAACUAGUGAUGCAAAGGAGAUAUGUGUCGAGAGGCACAUGAAUACGCACGUGGGCUGUUUUUCAGCAUGGUAGUCUAAAAAACUGUGGUAUUCUCAGAAAAUGCUUUGCUAUCAAACAGGGCAACUGCAGAUUUCCUUGAAUAUAGUUUAUUUUACAAUUGUGUUGCCAACGUGCUUCCUGUUUUAUCACCAUAAAAUAGUUCUAGGUGCUCAUAUAAAAUUUAGUGGCGUGUAUGGAUGAUUGUAGUGCAGCUUUGUUGAUCUGCUUGCAUUUUCAGCAUUAUAGUGUUGAUAUACUAUCUCAAUAAAACAGUGAAUACGUAUAAUAUGUACAAGCUACGUUCAAGUUAUGGCAGUGUGCCUGGGUAAGACGAACUGGUAAUCUUCUGCUAGCUGAAAAAAACUUGUUUCGUCUUUACAUGUGUUUCUUGUUGAAACUCUUUUUCGUCUUUGCAUGUGUUUCUUGCUGAAGCUCGUGAUUUUCAAGUUAUGGCAGCACAUAUGUCUACCCACUUGCAUGACUUCCGAUAUUGUCCUUAUUUUGCUCCUCCUUAGCCUUGUUCUGUUAGUGCAGUUCUUUUAAAUAGCAGGGACAGAGUCCCAGAAAACAUGCCUGAUUGCUUUUCUUAGUGGUGCACUUGCAAGUAUAUGUGGUCGUUUCUGUUAGUUAUUCAUGCUUUUCUACAAAGUGAUAGGUUAAUAAUGUCAUCAACAAUUUUUUUCCUUAACUGAUCAAUAUCUUAGAAGUUGUCACUCAUUAGUUUUCUUUUCCUUAUCUGAUCUCUAGCGAGUAGAGUGAUUUAUUUUCGCAAUACCUAAUUCUGAUCAUAGGUAAUGAAAGAUUUGUUUUCAUUAAAUGAGAUUCUUGUUUUGUGUUGAUUUUGCAAAAUUUCUGUAACUACAUAUUUGCUCAAUCCAAUAGACA